This 950-nucleotide long non-coding RNA is filed under the name Sorghum bicolor (sorghum). RNAcentral's name for it is "long non-coding RNA (SBIC_LNC017257)". The record is from RNAcentral. Lineage: Eukaryota; Viridiplantae; Streptophyta; Magnoliopsida; Poales; Poaceae.
ACAAAUUUUAUGAAACUAUACGUGGGAAGUGUGGAUUUUGAACGACACUAUAACACCCCAAAAUUUUAAUUUUGGGUUGUUAUUAUAAAAUACUAAAUAAAAUAAACGAUUUUUAAUAUAUGGAUAAAAUUUUCCAACAAUAGUUUAGAUUUUUAUAUAUUUUUAUCAAAGAAAAAUGGUGAUUUUCAAAUGUUUUGGAAUUAAUUAGACGAGCUUUUGUUGAUGUGAUGCUUGUAUAUUACUUGAGUUGUUGUUUUUGUGUGUGCUAAUAUUUUAAAAACACGUUUAGAUGCCGUUUGAUCCUUCGUGAGAAUUUUCUGGACUUUUUCGUGACUUUUUCUAUUUUUUUUUCUAAAGCAAAAUCUAAUUUUAGAUGGUCUAAACUACUUUUUCAUGGCCCUCAAAAACUUUAUUUGGAUUCAAAAUCUCCCAAUCCAUCUCUACAAGUUUUUCUUGGAUUUUUGGAAUUUUUAAAAUAUUUUUCAGGAUUUAAAAUGAUUUCAGCUUUUUCUAGAAUUAUUUUGGAACUGAAAAUGAUUUAUUUAGAAUCCUGAAAUUAAGAAAUUCCGAAACUUUUCCAAACCCUAGACCUAUAUAUAUGCCGGCGUACCCCUCGACACGCUGAUUUUAAAAGUACGAUCGCUUUCGCGAGCCGCCUUUCGUAGCCCCGCAGAUCCAUUGCUGAAGUUUCGGAUCUCGUUUUCGGCGAACUUUUCCGGUACGGCCAACUCCGGCGUCCUCUGCGAAAACCGUCACUAUCCCGAGGUUCGUCUCGAUCUUCUCUACAGCGGCACGCCAUUGUUUUCGCGAAUCCGUACUCGUUUAUCGUUUCCCUAAUCUUUUCUUCUCUUUUCCGGCGAGGUCAUCCAUGGACGAGCUCAUUCUUCGUCUCCUUCGGUCGGCACACCACGGUGCCCUUCAGACCAGCAGCACCACAUCACGCAACCCCC